GAUGAACGCUAGCGGCAGGCCUAAUACAUGCAAGUCGGACGGGAUCUAUCGGAGAGCUUGCUCGAAGAUAGUGAGAGUGGCGCACGGGUGCGUAACGCGUGAGCAACCUACCCAUAUCAGGGGGAUAGCCCGGAGAAAUCCGGAUUAAGACCGCAUAACACUGUGAUUUGGCAUCAUGUUACAGUUAAAUAUUUAUAGGAUAUGGAUGGGCUCGCGUGACAUUAGCUAGUUGGUGAGGUAACGGCUCACCAAGGCGACGAUGUCUAGGGGCUCUGAGAGGAGAAGCCCCCACACUGGUACUGAGACACGGACCAGACUCCUACGGGAGGCAGCAGUAAGGAAUAUUGGUCAAUGAGCGGAAGCCUGAACCAGCCAUGCCGCGUGCAGGACGACUGCCCCAUGGGUUGUAAACUGCUUUUGUCGAGGAAUAAACCUAUCUACGUGUAGAUAGCUGAACGUACUCGAAGAAUAAGGAUCGGCUAACUCCGUGCCAGCAGCCGCAGUAA
This 506-nucleotide ribosomal RNA is filed under the name uncultured bacterium. RNAcentral describes it as "partial 16S ribosomal RNA". It matches the Rfam family "Bacterial small subunit ribosomal RNA", at positions 28 to 523 of the family's 1533-position model. The record is from RNAcentral.